ACCGGGCGUGGUGGUGCACCCCUGUAGUCCCAGCUCCCCGGGAAGCUGAGGCUGGAGGAUCCCUUGAGCCCAGGAGUUGUGGGCUGCAGUGCGCUACGCCGAUCGGAUGUCCGCACUAAGUUCGGCAUCAGUAUGGUGACCUCCUGGGAGCGGGGGACCACCAGGUUGCCUAAGGAGGGGUGAACUGGCCCAGGUCAGAAAAGGUCUAACACCUACUAAAAUGUGCCUACUAGCUAUCUACAAAAUGGAGGACCCCCAACACUUCAUCUGCACUAUUCCAGCCCGU
This 286-nucleotide signal recognition particle RNA is filed under the name Erinaceus europaeus (western European hedgehog). RNAcentral's name for it is "Metazoan signal recognition particle RNA". It matches the Rfam family "Metazoan signal recognition particle RNA", at positions 1 to 232 of the family's 299-position model. Rfam says of the family: The signal recognition particle (SRP) is a universally conserved ribonucleoprotein. It is involved in the co-translational targeting of proteins to membranes. Lineage: Eukaryota; Metazoa; Chordata; Mammalia; Eulipotyphla; Erinaceidae. The record is from Rfam by way of RNAcentral.